GGGGCGUAGCGUUGUUCGGAAUUACUGGGCGUAAAGCGCAUGUAGGCGGACAUUUAAGUCAGGGGUGAAAUACCCGGGGCGUCAACCUCGGAACUGCCUUUGAUACUGGGUGUCUAGAGUGUGGAAGAGGUAAGUGGAAUUCCGAGUGUAGAGGUGAAAUUCGUAGAUAUUCGGAGGAACACCGGUGGCGAAGGCGGCUUACUGGUCCAUUACUGACGCUGAGGUGCGAAAGCGUGGGGAGC
Molecule: ribosomal RNA, 242 nt
Filed under: uncultured bacterium
Lineage: Bacteria
Description: partial 16S ribosomal RNA
Rfam family: Bacterial small subunit ribosomal RNA
Source: RNAcentral